Heterocephalus glaber (naked mole-rat) is the source of this 833-nucleotide long non-coding RNA. RefSeq lists it as uncharacterized. Lineage: Eukaryota; Metazoa; Chordata; Mammalia; Rodentia; Bathyergidae. The record is from RefSeq and is a predicted model, not a curated record.
UGUUUAUAAAUCUCUUUUCCCUUCCUCCAGUAUAGUUAUAGUAUUCAUUUAAAUGCAAUUAGGAUCUUUCUUUUUCAUUUGUUUUUAGUUUUCGGUCUUCCCUCCCAUCCUUGUUAAUUUUUUGAAUAUGUAGGACAUUAACAUGCUUACACAAGUAAAAACUAUACAAAAAGGUUAACUUGGAGAAGUAUCACUCCUUCCUUUAUUGUAUUCCUUUUACCUCAAUCUCUCCUAUGUUCUAUAAGUCACCAACUUCACUGUUUUUAGUUUGUUCUUCUUACGUUUCUAUUUGUAAAGGUAAAGCAGAUAUAUGUAUGCUCUCCUAUCUCUCUUCUUUUUUUUUUUUUUACAGAAAGUAACAUACUAUAUGUACAUUUCAGAGCAUCUUAUGUCUUGAUAAGCAGGUGGUGGAUGAAGAAGAAUAAAAAAACAGAGGAUCAGAGGAUAAGUUUGAGACUUCGACCAACAGUUGAGCAGAGUUAAGUGGCCUAUGGACAAAGAAGUAAUUAAAUCAGCAGUUUCAGCCGAGCAUCAUUCUCAUCAGAUAGGAGCAGCGCACACUGGGAAACUGUGUCCUGGGCUAGCCAGGAAGAUCCACAGCUAAGGGACUGGUUGGAGCAGGUACAGCAGAGAUAUGUUCCCCAUCCAUGUUUGUACUGGACCAGCAGCUGUUUGCCAAGGGGAGAAGACCAGAAGGAAAAAAAAAAAAAGGCAGGUGACCUCCUGUUAACCUCACCCGUCUGCAAGAGGCUGCUGCCCUCACCUCUGAAUGAACUUUCAGAUUAUCUCAGACAAGAUUCACCUUGCGCUGAACUUGUACACCCGCUCCGAAG